UACGGAGGAUUCGAGCGUUAUCCGGAUUUAUUAGGUUUAAAGGGUGCGUAGGCGGACUGGUCAGUCAGCUGUGAAAGUUUACGGCUCAACCGUGAAAUUGCAGUUGAUACUGUUGGUCUUGAGUAUACAUGAGGUGGGUGGAAUUUGUGGUGUAGCGGUGAAAUGCUUAGAUAUCACGAAGAACUCCAAUGGCGAAGGCAGCUCACUGGGGUAUAACUGACGCUGAUGCGCGAAGGUGAGGGUAGCGAACAGG
RNAcentral lists this ribosomal RNA (253 nucleotides) under uncultured bacterium. Its description in RNAcentral is "partial 16S ribosomal RNA". It matches the Rfam family "Bacterial small subunit ribosomal RNA", at positions 524 to 776 of the family's 1533-position model. The record is from RNAcentral.